AUAUGAAGUCGGACCUGCCCAGUGAAUAUUAAACGGCCGCGGUACUCUGACCGUGCAAAGGUAGCAUAAUCAUUUGCCUUAUAAUUGAAGGCUGGAAUGAAUGGUUUGACAAGAAUACAACUGUCUCUUUAUGAUUACCUAGAACUUUAUUUCUGGAUGAAAAAGUCCAGAUAUUAUUAAAAGACAAGAAGACCCUAUCGAGCUUUAGAGAAAUUGGUAGAUUUAGUAAUAAUCAAUAUAAGUAAAAGAAAAACUAGCAAAUACUUUGGUUGGGGCAACUGAGGAGUAAGCAAAGCCUCCUUUAAACUGUAAAUCGUACUUGAAUUGAUCCAGAGAUUUUGAUUAAAGGAAUUAGUUACCGUAGGGAUAACAGCAUUAUCUUUUUUAAGAGCCCAUAUCGAAAAAAAGGUUUGUGACCUCGAUGUUGGACCAGAAUAUCCUAAAGAUGCAGAAGUCUUUAAGGGUUGGUCUGUUCGACCAUU
RNAcentral lists this ribosomal RNA (482 nucleotides) under Conus excelsus. RNAcentral describes it as "partial 16S ribosomal RNA". It matches the Rfam family "Bacterial large subunit ribosomal RNA", at positions 1845 to 2589 of the family's 2925-position model. The record is from RNAcentral. Lineage: Eukaryota; Metazoa; Mollusca; Gastropoda; Neogastropoda; Conidae.